This 522-nucleotide ribosomal RNA is filed under the name Triticum aestivum (bread wheat). RNAcentral describes it as "partial small subunit ribosomal RNA". Lineage: Eukaryota; Viridiplantae; Streptophyta; Magnoliopsida; Poales; Poaceae. The record is from RNAcentral.
AUGGUGUGGUAUGUGUUGAACAAUUGUAGUCAAGCUGAGAAGUAUAUAGAAAUGUUCAAGGGUGAGCUAGAGAGAGAAGGACUGAGAGAAGGACUGCCAAACAUUGAAAGAAGGCCUCGGAAAGGAUUCCAGACAUGGUUUAGGAACUAUAUAAUGACGUUGCGGAAUGAGGAUGCCAAAGAGGUUGACAAAGAUCUCUUUACCUUGGCAUGUGGUCCUGAUUCGAGAGUCAGGAAAUACUCAUCAUGCAUAAUGAAUGGCAUUCGGUUUAGUACUGUUAACCUUGAUAACAGUAGGAGAACACAAAAUAGAGGAGUCACGUCUGAAGGUAGGCAUGACAGGAAGGUCAUUGACUUUUAUGGAACCCUGAAAGAGAUCAUUCAGUUAGACUAUAACUUGGAUGACAGGUCGGUUGUUCUGUUUAAAUGUGACUGGUUUAAGCUUGAUGGGAAGAAGACUGAACCUCAAAAUGAUGGGGUUUUUUACAAGCAUCAACGUGGGAAGUUUAUGAUACAAGGAUGA